GCCUCGUUAGCGCAGUAGGCAGCGCGUCAGUCUCAUAAUCUGAUUUCGAAAUCUGAAGGUCUUGAGUUCUAUCAUCACACCGGGCA
Molecule: transfer RNA, 86 nt
Filed under: Nematostella vectensis (starlet sea anemone)
Lineage: Eukaryota; Metazoa; Cnidaria; Anthozoa; Actiniaria; Edwardsiidae
Rfam family: tRNA
About the family: Transfer RNA (tRNA) molecules are approximately 80 nucleotides in length. Their secondary structure includes four short double-helical elements and three loops (D, anti-codon, and T loops).
Source: Rfam by way of RNAcentral